GAUGAACGCUAGCGGCAGGCUUAAUACAUGCAAGUCGUGGGGCAGCAGGUUUGUAGCAAUACAGAUGCUGGCGACCGGCAAACGGGUGCGGAACACGUACAGAACCUUCCUUUGAGCGGGGAAUAGCCCAGAGAAAUUUGGAUUAAUACCCCAUAGUAUAAUGAAGUGGCAUCACUUUAUUAUUAAAGAUUUAUCACUCGAAGAUUGGCUGUGCGGCUGAUUAGGUAGUUGGCGGGGUAAAGGCCCACCAAGCCUGCGAUCAGUAACUGGUGUGAGAGCACGACCAGUCACACGGGCACUGAGACAGGGCCCGACUCCUACGGGAGGCAGCAGUAAGGAAUAUUGGACAAUGGAGGCAACUCUGAACCAGCCAUGCCGCGUGAGGAUGAAGGUCCUCUGGAUUGUAAACUUCUUUAUAUGGACGAAAAAAGGCUUUUCUAAGUCGUCUGACGGUACCAUAUGAAUAAGCACCGGCUAACUCCGUGCCAGCAGCC
RNAcentral lists this ribosomal RNA (494 nucleotides) under uncultured bacterium. Its description in RNAcentral is "bacterial SSU rRNA". It matches the Rfam family "Bacterial small subunit ribosomal RNA", at positions 28 to 516 of the family's 1533-position model. The record is from RNAcentral.